AGCCCACCCCCGUUGUGAUACGGAAAGCACCCAAGAGCCGUGAGACAGCAAGCCUUGUUGAUGCCAGGCUAUGGUGAUGCCGUCGAUCUGGCAGUGGAGCAGCCGUCACCAUCAGAUCCAUUUCCAGAGGAAUUUCCCAGGAGCCGUAGCUGGAGGAGAAGUUGGCAGAUACGGACAUGAGGAAACUGAACAUCCUUCUAAGCAGACACGAAGAGUCCUCAGCUUUCUGCCUCCCACAUAACUGGCUUACCAAGGAAAAAGAAGUCAGACGUCAGAGUCUACUGCCCUCAUGCGACGGACAGUGAGUGAGGCAGAAGCCUGUGAGCAUUGUUCAUGCCAGGCAAGAGCCGUCCAUCUGGGAGCCAAGCACAGACUACUGUCAGUGAGAUAAGUGUCUGUUUUGCUGAGGGUUCUGCUCACGGCCCACCUCCUGGUAGGUACGCCCCAUUAGCAAGGCCUGGGUUUGUAAGAAAAGGUUCCUAAC
Molecule: long non-coding RNA, 484 nt
Organism: Gopherus flavomarginatus (Mexican gopher tortoise)
Lineage: Eukaryota; Metazoa; Chordata; Testudines; Testudinidae
Exons: 3
Source: RefSeq, a predicted model, not a curated record